GUGGGGAAUUUUGGACAAUGGGCGCAAGCCUGAUCCAGCAAUGCCGCGUGCAGGAAGAAGGCCUUCGGGUUGUAAACUGCUUUUGUACGGAACGAAACGGUCCUGGUUAAUACCUGGGGCUAAUGACGGUACCGUAAGAAUAAGCACCGGCUAACUACGUGCCAGCAGCCGCGGUAAUACGUAGGGUGCAAGCGUUAAUCGGAAUUACUGGGCGUAAAGCGUGCGCAGGCGGUUUUGUAAGACAGGCGUGAAAGCCCCGGGCUCAACCUGGGAAUUGCGCUUGUGACUGCAAGGCUGGAGUGCGGCAGAGGGGGAUGGAAUUCCGCGUGUAGCAGUGAAAUGCGUAGAUAUGCGGAGGAACACCGAUGGCGAAGGCAAUCCCCUGGGCCUGCACUGACGCUCAUGCACGAAAGCGUGGGGAGCAAACAGGAUUAGAUACCCCAGUAGUCC
Molecule: ribosomal RNA, 450 nt
Filed under: uncultured bacterium
Lineage: Bacteria
Description: partial 16S ribosomal RNA
Rfam family: Bacterial small subunit ribosomal RNA
Source: RNAcentral